RNAcentral lists this ribosomal RNA (301 nucleotides) under uncultured bacterium. RNAcentral describes it as "partial 16S ribosomal RNA". It matches the Rfam family "Bacterial small subunit ribosomal RNA", at positions 509 to 807 of the family's 1533-position model. The record is from RNAcentral.
CAGUCGCCGCGGGAAUACGUAGGGUGCGAGCGUUAAUCGGAAUUACUGGGCGUAAAGCGUGCGCAGGCGGUUCGUUAAGACAGAUGUGAAAUCCCCGGGCUUAACCUGGGAACUGCAUUUGUGACUGACGGGCUAGAGUAUGGCGGAGGGGGGUAGAAUUCCACGUGUAGCAGUGAAAUGCGUAGAGAUGUGGAGGAAUACCGAUGGCGAAGGCAGCCCCCUGGGCCAAUACUGACGCUCAUGCACGAAAGCGUGGGGAGCAAACAGGAUUAGAUACCCCAGUAGUCCCUGUCUCUUAUAC